CCAGACUCAGAACACCGAAACCGUAGGCACACACAAGAAUUGAGAUUGAGGAAGAGAAAUCUAAGUGCCAUUAACUCCAUUCAGGCCAUUUACCUGCCAUCAUCAGAUCGUCGAAACUGCCACCGAUCAAGCAUAGAUUGUUUCAUUAGCUUCGAAAUUCCUAUCCACAAUCCAUCUUUUCUGAAUAGCAAAGAGUAGAUGAGAGAAUCAAAAGCGUGUCCAACAAAAGUUACUAGAAGAUCUAGGAAGCAAAAAACUCAUUCCAAGUUCGCUGUAUUGGACAAGGGAACUGAAAUCUGUUAUAAUUUAAAAGAGAUCAGUGACUCAAAUAUGUUGGCGCCACACCAAAUCCGAGAUAAGGUUCUGAAGGAUGGCUAGAAGAAGAACGAGAAGACUAUA
This is a long non-coding RNA of Quercus robur (English oak), 399 nucleotides long. RefSeq lists it as uncharacterized. The record is from RefSeq and is a predicted model, not a curated record. The transcript is spliced from 3 exons. NCBI's taxonomy places the organism in Eukaryota, Viridiplantae, Streptophyta, Magnoliopsida, Fagales, Fagaceae.